GAAAGGGGCUGACCUCUGCUCUGCUGCUGGGAGAACACGGAUUUAACCAGCCUUCUCUCUAAGCUGCUGGUAGCAAUCCCAGCCUGGCUUAGCUCACAGCUUCUACUGGAAACCAGCUCUCUGAUGUGUUUCUUCUUAACAGCUGAAUGAAGUCUGGUCAGCAAUUCUCAAAAUCAUCCACAUGGCACCAAGGGCCACACUUGAGAAAAUCUUUAUAGUGACCACGUGAUAUGAAAAUGGUGGUUACACAUAUAUGGAAACAAAAUAUUUUACAUUUUCAUUCCUGAUCUCAGAGACGUGAGAACAUUCUAUACAAAUUUGUCCUACACAGAACCAUUUGCAGAGGGGAAGCUUGUACCCCUACUUACUUCAUCAUUUCUGGGAAUAUGCAUUCAUGUCUAGUGGAAACAGAAACACCUUUCACUCAGCUACAGGACAAUCAGGAAAGAAAAUAAAAU
RNAcentral lists this long non-coding RNA (458 nucleotides) under Parus major (Great Tit). RNAcentral's name for it is "lncRNA (ENSPMJG00000018601.1)". The record is from RNAcentral. Lineage: Eukaryota; Metazoa; Chordata; Aves; Passeriformes; Paridae.